RNAcentral lists this long non-coding RNA (3233 nucleotides) under Sus scrofa (pig). Its description in RNAcentral is "lncRNA (ENSSSCG00000063510.1)". Lineage: Eukaryota; Metazoa; Chordata; Mammalia; Artiodactyla; Suidae. The record is from RNAcentral.
UUUUUUUUUUUUUUUUUUCAACUGGGGGCUCAGUUCCAUCUCUAAUGAAAAUAAAAAAGCUAUCUUGGAGCUAUCUUGGCUGAGGUCAAAAAGCCCACAAGGUCACGUUUGCUUAAAGGUCUAGAUGACAUUGACGUUCUGGUCUCCUCGAGGUGAAGGUCUUUCCUUCAAGAACCAAGAGAAACAGAAUCCAGACAGACAUUCCUGACACACUUUGGAGAAUAAUUUUAGCUUUGUACAUAAAUGUAAGUGUCUCGUCCCGGAACAUACAUUUUCCUCUCAAUUUGUUCAGGUUACAGCUAAGACCAAAACAGGAGGCCCAGGACAGUCAGACGUGCGGAAGGCACAAAGGCAUCUGUUUCUCAGUGACAAAUCCAACAGACAUCCCGGUCACACCUCAGAUCUUCUUCGGGGAGUACAAAACCAGGACACUGUCCGUUGGCAUCUGCGUCCUCCGGGCGGAGCACCCAGGGGCCACGGGGCUUGGUGCCCCCAGUGAAAUGCAUGUGGGAGACGCGUCCUCCGCUGCCAGGAGUCUCCUUUCUUUCUCCCAAGUUCCUCUCGCACGGAGCUGAGGGGAGGCUCAGAGCGGGGCCGUGUGGGACGGAGAAAGGAAAAAACCCUUUCUUCACACUCGUGCUGCUCUGAAUGUGGACCAUCUGUGCCCCCAGCUGGAGCGCCGGCAAUGGUCUGGCACUUGAACCACACCAUAUUUACAGAUCUAAACACAAACGGCUACUGCCUGAUUGUUUCAUGAUUCAUUAGUCAGACAAGCUCUCCUCUCCCGCCAGCACAGCUGUUACAGAGUAAACCUUUGUCACUUAAUAGGCCUGAUUAUUACUUUCCAUCAAAGGUAUUGAUCUGUGUCACCUCUACUUAAGGGGAUGGGGGAGAAGAACAUGGGGAUGAAAGGUCCCAGGAAAACGGGGGCACAAAGGGGGGGGGGCAAAAGAGGGGCGUGAGGCGGGAUCAGCGACCCUGGCCUCCUCCCUUGCUCUCCCCUGCGUGACCUGAAUAUCUGGAGUCGUGUCCUUGGCCGCAGCGACGGACUUUCUCGGAAAGGGGAGCCACUCCUCGCGCGGUGUGCCACCCCGAGCCCCCGGCCCACUGCUGCCACAGCCCCUGACCGCACAGAUCCCUGUUCAACCACGGGCCGGGGUGCACUGAACCAGAAAGCUGCAUCAAUUAGCACGCCAAGCCAACGUGCAGAUCAAGCUGGGGCUCUGGAGGGAGUUUUUAUGGCUCCUUUAAUUAUCUCCUUUUGUUUAACAAAUAAAGUGCGGCUAUAACCCUGGGCCGUUCCCUGACUGCGACACACAACGUUCACCCAGGUGGAGAGCGGCUUCUGUCCGGCUGCCGGCAGGCACCAUGGGGCAGAGUGCAGGCCCAGCCCCCUGGCCAGCGCUCUGCGUCUCUCUCGCCUCCGCUCACCGCCUUCCCCACUUGUUCCUUUCCUCCAAAAACUCAAAGGGACAAAACGAGGGAGGAUUUCCCGGUGGGGGCGACAAAGAAAGGGUAUCAGAAAUACACCAACUCAGUAAACACCGCCCUAAACAUUCCCACCAACACUCCCACCCAAACAAUCUCCUGGGGAGUCAGAGUUUAGGAAGGGAGACCAGAGAUCCUCUCUCUCAUCUUCGGGCCCAGAGAGCUUUAGAGGCGUCCUCCCACGACACAGUUUUUGGGGUGGGCCCGCUGAGUCGAAAAGUCCUCUACGGACCAGUUCAGAGCUCUUUCCAACCCAGCAACCAGCCCUCCUAAUGCCAAAAUCUCACCUCAGACAGGGAUGGUUUUAACGAAUGUAAUGUCUUCCACAGCCUCAGGGAAGGUCGUAAGGGGAGGAACCCUGAUCAGAGCUCACGGAGUCAACCUCUUCUGCAACUACUUCCACAUCACGGAAGAAGAGGUAUUUGACUUUACAUAAUACACACAUGUGUACGCACAGACACACACACAGGUAGCCCAGUGCAUGCACACAUGCGUGCAAAAUGGGCCUUGCUCUCACCAUCAGUAACAGCUCCUCCCCUCUGAGAUUCCAGCAUAGGCUAGUUGCGUCCCUCUGUCUCCAUACCACUCACUGCAGCUGUUGCCCAAAUCUAGCCUCCGACCGAGACCUUUCUGGCUCCCUUUCUCCAGACCUCACCCUCCAAUGGCAAGCACGGGUUACAAAAGGUCAAGAGCCUCGCCAAGCACACACUGUUUGUUUUAUGGUGCUCACCACAGGCAAUGGAUUGACGCGCCCAGACGCUGCGACCCUCCAUUGAUGGGACGGUCAAUGGAAGCAAGAGACAAGGCUCACCCCCAACUCAGUCCAUUCGGAAUUGACGGGGAUGGUCAGAACGUGGUUUGCCUAAGUUCCUAUCUGCAAAGGUGCUGCUGACAAGUACAGCUCUGAGAGAUAUCUGAAUGGGCUGUGGCCCGGGGCAGCUGAACAAGUCCGUUUCGUACUUACUUGAUUCUCCGUAGGCCCUUGGCCAAGGGUAGGACGCUAAUGGCUGGAGAGCACUUCUGACUCAGCCCAGAUUUUAAGCAGCGAGCUGGCAAUGGAACACCCCUCACCCCAUUUCCACGUCUAUAGUUCUCCAGGUGGCGUAGUUGUCCCACUUGAUACCCAUGUCUGGGGCCACCUAGUCUCUCCCCUUCCCCAUCCCAGUUCCCAGACAGUGUUGGGAAUUUGACUCUUUGGAGUAGCACGUUAAUGAAGCAUGCAGGGUAUGUUUUGGUACCUUAAAAAAAAUGUAACAGAAGUCAUAGCUUUAAUGCUUCUAUAUAAGCCAGAAUUCAGUUUUAGAAGCAAAUGAAAUCUUACUGAUAGCCAGCUUUCAGCUCUCGAGCUUUCCAAACUGGAGUUUCUUCUUGUAAGUUAUGUCUAUCAGUUGACAGGACCAGUAUGAUUUUACGUGGGCACAGUUUGGCAACCAGGAGCUCCACAUAAUACAGUGCACUUGAAAUUCACAUAAAAAGAAAGCUGUCAGCAAGUAGAAACUGAUUAAAAUAAAGGGCAUUUGUUCUUAACGGGGGAAGAAAAUCAGCUUAUAGCCAUAAAAAGGAAACUGAUUGGCAAGAACUCAUGUGAAAAUGCCAAAGUAUUAAAAAUACACUUCGAUGUUUUCUGUUUAUAUUCCACUUGAUAAUUGGAUUUUGACUAAAUAUGCAUUUCGCCCACCAUAUCAACAAAAACGGACCUUACCUAGAAAUCUACGUAUGAUGACACAUAGCAUUUGAAAGUAUCU